Molecule: small nuclear RNA, 121 nt
Organism: Cebus imitator (Panamanian white-faced capuchin)
Lineage: Eukaryota; Metazoa; Chordata; Mammalia; Primates; Cebidae
Source: RefSeq, a predicted model, not a curated record
GUGUUGUAUGAAAGGAGAGAAGGUUAGCACUCCCCUUGACAAGGAUGGAAGAGGCCCUCGGGCCUGACCACACGCAUACGGAGACCAGCGUGGCCAACAUGGCAAAACUCUGUCACUACUA